GACGAACGCUGGCGGCGUGCUUAACACAUGCUAGUCGAACGGUGAAGCGCCUUCCUUUUUGGUGGGUGUGGAUGAGUGGCGAACGGGUGAGUAACACGUGAGUAACCUGCCCCCUUCUUCUGGAUAACCGCAUGAAAGUGUGGCUAAUACGGGAUAUUCUGGGUCUGUCGCAUGAUGGGUCUGGGAAAGAUAUUGUUUCGGUGGGGGAUGGGCUCGCGGCCUAUCAGCUUGUUGGUGGGGUGAUGGCCUACCAAGGCGGUGACGGGUAGCCGGCCUGAGAGGGUGGACGGUCACACUGGGACUGAGACACGGCCCAGACUCCUACGGGAGGCAGCAGUGGGGAAUAUUGCACAAUGGGCGCAAGCCUGAUGCAGCGACGCCGCGUGAGGGAUGGAGGCCUUCGGGUUGUGAACCUCUUUCGCCAGUGAAGCAGGCCUGCCUCGUUUGUGGGUGGGUUGACGGUAGCUGGAUAAGAAGCGCCGGCUAACUACGUG
RNAcentral lists this ribosomal RNA (494 nucleotides) under uncultured bacterium. RNAcentral's name for it is "partial 16S ribosomal RNA". It matches the Rfam family "Bacterial small subunit ribosomal RNA", at positions 28 to 507 of the family's 1533-position model. The record is from RNAcentral.